Molecule: ribosomal RNA, 469 nt
Filed under: uncultured organism
Description: partial 16S ribosomal RNA
Rfam family: Bacterial small subunit ribosomal RNA
Source: RNAcentral
ACUCCUGCGGGAGGCAGCAGUGGGGAAUUUUGGACAAUGGGCGAAAGCCUGAUCCAGCAAUGCCGCGUGCAGGAUGAAGGCCUUCGGGUUGUAAACUGCUUUUGUACGGAACGAAAAAGCUCCUUCUAAUACAGGGGGCCCAUGACGGUACCGUAAGAAUAAGCACCGGCUAACUACGUGCCAGCAGCCGCGGUAAUACGUAGGGUGCGAGCGUUAAUCGGAAUUACUGGGCGUAAAGCGUGCGCAGGCGGUUAUGUAAGACAGAUGUGAAAUCCCCGGGCUCAACCUGGGAACUGCAUUUGUGACUGCAUGGCUAGAGUACGGUAGAGGGGGAUGGAAUUCCGCGUGUAGCAGUGAAAUGCGUAGAUAUGCGGAGGAACACCGAUGGCGAAGGCAAUCCCCUGGACCUGUACUGACGCUCAUGCACGAAAGCGUGGGGAGCAAACAGGAUUAGAUACCCCGGUAGUCC